CCGGGCUGAGGCGAUGGGGUUUGCAGCGCUGCAAGCAGGAGAUGAAGGCAGCCGUGGUGUUGGAAGGUGAGCAGACACGGACGGCUUUGGCAGCCCAUCGUCCGCAGACAGCUCUUGGCCAAGCCAGCAGCGCUGAACUGCAGCUUCCCGGCUGUCCCGGCGCGGCUGAGCCACCCUGCCCGAGGAGCGGAGCUCUCUGCUGCUCUGCUUCUGCCGUCUGCGUAGCCCGAUGAGGACUUGCUGAGGACCUCCUUCCCACAGGGAUCAAGGCUGGAGCAACGCUUUGGCAAGAUGUCCUCAAAGCAGUUCAGCAGGAGGGGGCCCCGGGCCUUUCCCUGGGGGCCCUAUCCGCGUCAGGCUGGGCCACCACCUUCACGUGCUCAUGGCCCCUGGGAUGCCUGGUGUGAUCCUCCAUGGGAGCAGCAGCACUGGAGAGCCAGGAGAAGAAUGCAUCUGCCCGGUCCCAGGCAGCCCCGGCCUUUCCCUGGCCCUGCUGACAUCCUCCAGAAUGAGGAGAAUUGGAGAUGGGUCCCCCAGAACCAUGAUGUGCCACCACCUCACUGGAUGUAUAGAGAGGACCACCAGAGCCAUGAGAUACCACAGCUGCAUCACCGGGACUUCUUUGCCCAGCCUGAGUUCCCCAGCCAGGAGCAGCGUCCUGCUGGAUUCCCAUGGGAGCAAGAAGUCUCCUGGGACAACUGCUCACCCCAGCGCCAUUGUGGCCCACGCCGGAGACACUGCCGACUCCUUCGGCCCAUCCAGCAGGAGACAGCAGACCGCAGCCGUUCUCCCAGCAGCUCCCAAGGUUGGUCCUGCUGCAGCGCUGGCUGCCGCCCAGGACCCCUGUGUGGUGUGUGCAGCCAGCAGCGUCUGCAUGGGGAGGGUUGGCACUUUGUGUAUUAAGUGCCGUUGUGUUUCCGCAGGGUGCCAUCCAUCCUCCAAGCCCUCUCAGUCCUGCUCCCUGGAGAGCCAGCCGGGGCUCAGAGAGCAGCUCGCUGCUCCCCAGUCACCUGCUGCCUGCAAGAACAGUCUGCAAAGCGAGCAGCAGGUGGAUGAGGGCUGGCUGGUGGCAAGCAGCGAGGCGCUGGAACGGCCCGGGCAUGCAGAGAAGAGCCCAGAGAAGAGCCCGGGCACUGACCCCCAGGCAGCGGAGCAGGAGCCAGCGGCAGGAUCAAAGCCAGUACGUGUGCACCUCUUUCCCGAGUGCAUACUGAGAGACUUUCACCCAGGAGCUGCCCAGCUCAGGGGAUCCCUUCCACCUGUGUCACACCUCACUUCUCUCUUGCACUCUUCACCUCGGUAUCUCUUGGACAGAAAUGGAAGCAGGAUGUUUUCCUGA
This 1339-nucleotide long non-coding RNA is filed under the name Chrysolophus pictus (golden pheasant). RNAcentral's name for it is "lncRNA (ENSCPIG00010012786.1)". The record is from RNAcentral. Lineage: Eukaryota; Metazoa; Chordata; Aves; Galliformes; Phasianidae.